RNAcentral lists this transfer RNA (83 nucleotides) under Canis lupus familiaris (dog). It matches the Rfam family "tRNA". From Rfam's summary of the family: Transfer RNA (tRNA) molecules are approximately 80 nucleotides in length. Their secondary structure includes four short double-helical elements and three loops (D, anti-codon, and T loops). RNAcentral also lists the same sequence under 1 other name. The record is from Rfam by way of RNAcentral. Lineage: Eukaryota; Metazoa; Chordata; Mammalia; Carnivora; Canidae.
GCCUGGGUGGCUCAGUGGUUGAGCAUCUGCCUUUGGCUCAGGUUGUGAUCCCAGGGUCCUGGGAUCGAGUCCCACAUCAGGCU